ACGUAGGAGGCGAGCGUUAUCCGGAUUUACUGGGCGUAAAGCGUGUGUAGGCGGUUUGAUAAGUUGGAUGUGAAAGCUCCUGGCUUAACUGGGAGAGGUCGUUCAAAACUAUCAGACUUGAGAGUGGUAGAGGGAGGUGGAAUUCCGCAUGAAGUGGUGCAAUGCGUAGAUAUGCGGAGGAACACCAGAGGCGAAAGCGGCCUCCUGGUCCAUGUCUGACGCUCAGACUCGAAAGCUAAGGUAGCGAUCGG
RNAcentral lists this ribosomal RNA (251 nucleotides) under uncultured prokaryote. Its description in RNAcentral is "partial 16S rRNA". It matches the Rfam family "Bacterial small subunit ribosomal RNA", at positions 525 to 775 of the family's 1533-position model. The record is from RNAcentral.